Molecule: long non-coding RNA, 2010 nt
Filed under: Canis lupus familiaris (dog)
Lineage: Eukaryota; Metazoa; Chordata; Mammalia; Carnivora; Canidae
Description: lncRNA (ENSCAFG00845022391.1)
Source: RNAcentral
UUUUUUUUUUUUUUUUUUUUUUUUUUUGAAGUUCCUCUGUUUCUUAGGAAAAACUUGGUGGCUACAAAAUGCUGACUUAGAAAGAGGCAGUUGUUUCCCUGUAAUCUUGUGCCUUGCUUUGUUUGCCAUUGCUUUUUGAAUUUACUUCAUGAUGCUAAUGAUGCAGAUUUGUCAGUCCUUACCAGGACAAAUAUCUGAAUUACCUGAAUGCAGUAGCUUUUAAAAUAUUGAUAUUAUUAGCCGGAGUAGGUAUUCACCUAAAAACAGGUGGUCACCUAGUCUGGAACGACAGGUAAAUACAAAACAAAUGGUCUGUUGGUAUUUACAUUACAAUAUAUGAUAAAAUAAUUUUAUCCGUGUUUCUAGGCUUUAUGGCUAUCCUGUUUAGAACUGAAAUUCUGUAAUAGCAGUUUAGAGUAUUUAUUUAGCCAAAUAUUGAUUAAGCAGAGAUUAAGCUGCUUGAAGCUCCAAUAUUAUAAUAUCAAGAUAGAUCUCAAGUUUUGCUAAGCCCUUGAAGAUAUGAGAUGCACCUAGAAAUUCUUGUUGCUGUAUAUGAUAAUCCUUAUAGUUCAGUUCGUCAAACAUUAAAAAAAAUCCUACUGGGUGCCAGGCACUGUGCUGGGAAUUUAGACACAAAAGCACAUGUUACUGCCCUUUAGACACUAAAGAGAAUUGCAGUCUAACAUGUUACAUGUUGAAGAGGUUUGUCAAGGGUCCUCCUGUUCCUCUUGUUUGAAAAGUAAAGGAGAGGCAUUUAACCAACCUGGGUUUUAGCAAAGCUUUGUGGGUGAGGUGACCUUCUAUGUCAAGAUAUGAAGGGUAUAUGAGAAGACUUAGCCUUUUAAGGAAAAGUAUAAAGAACAUUUCAGACUGAAAAAUAUAACAGACAUGUGAAGGCAAAAAAAAAAAAAAAGAAUGUGGCAGGAAAUGAUGCUGGUAUGUACCUGGCCUCAGAGGCUUUUGUGUGUCAUGCAGUAGGGCUUUAGCUUAUAGGUAGUGGGUAACUAAUGAUGGGAUCAAAGCAGACUAUUUUUAAUUCAACCAACCUACAACCAAGUAAACCUUUAAUGUGUAAAAUAUAUUUUGCUAUUGCAAAUGGAUAAGUCUCUGCAUUUAGAGUCUAGUCGUAUAUAUUCACAGCCACCUUUUUUUUUUUUUUUUUUUUUUUACCCAAAGGCAUUUGCUAAUUGUUUGCCCAUUAUUAAAAUAGUACCUGCUUAGUGUAGAUACUUUAAAUACUAGGAAAGUAUAAAUACUGCCAUAUUGCCACCACCCAAAGAUAACCACUAUUAACAUUUUGCUUUAGUUUUCCAAUCUUUUCUUCUAUUUGCUUUUAUGUUUUUGCCACAAAAUUAUCACAGUGUAUAUACUUUUUGUGUCUUCCUUUUUUCACUUAAUAUUAUAGGAGCUAAAAAUAUUCUUUGAAAGCAUGAUUUUUGAAUAUGUAGUUUCCUAUUAUUUAGGUAUAUUUAAAUACUUUUUGGACUUUGGGGUUCAUUCAUUCAAUGAGUUUGUUUUUUUCAUUAUUAUAAAUAAUAUUUUACUGAGCAUAAAUCUUCAUUACAUUUAAGAUCCAUAUUGACUCUUUAGAAACUUGAGAGCAGAAAAUUCUUACUCAUAAAAUUAGUUCUGCUAGAGUUCUUAUGAAUAGAUCACUUUGUAGCUGAUAUAUUACAGCAUAAGAUAAACAUCUUAGAUUCUAGAAUCUAGGUGAGGUGAACAUCUCAGAAUCCAGAGCCUAUACUUUGUCUCUAUGAUUGAACUUGACAUGUCCUUAUAUUUCCCAAGGCCUGAUUGAUGGACAGUGUUGGGAAUGAGCUCAGUUUAUAUCCGUGAUACAGGUACAUCCCUUCUUUCUGUAUAAAUGUACAACUCAUAAGCAGGCAUGUUUAUAGACUUCUAAAUUUAGGGAAAAAAACCUGUAAAAGCCCAAAGAUGACCUGAAAAAAAAAUAGAUUGAGCAUAGAAAUUGGUAAACAUUUUGAUUUUUCUGAGAGGAAUAUGUGACCA